Molecule: non-coding RNA, 2105 nt
Organism: Arachis ipaensis
Lineage: Eukaryota; Viridiplantae; Streptophyta; Magnoliopsida; Fabales; Fabaceae
Source: RefSeq, a predicted model, not a curated record
UCUAUUUUGCUCUCAUCUUAUUUAUCUGUUUGUUCUGAUUUUUAAUUCCAUUUUAGUUUCUGCCUUGUCCUGAAUUUUCAAAACUAUUUACAUCUUUAAUUUUUAUCAAAUUCGAAUUCCUUGUUUUGUGUUAAUGUGUAUGGUGUUAAUGCGUUAGAAUUUUGGCAAAUGUCUAAAGAGAUUGCACCCUAGUAGUAGUUGUAUUUGUGUUUGGGGAUUUCAAUGUUGUUGUAGCCGUAAGCGAGGGAGUAAAUUGUCUUUCUAAUCUACCUCAUAUGAGAGCUAGAGCAUUUUGAUAGGUAGUUUGCCCACCACCUGUUCGAUAGAAUGUUUCUUUAACUUCUUCUCAAUGGACAUCCACCUGUUCGAUAGCUUUUUUGUGAACAUUUGAGCUUAGUGUAUUUGUGUUCUUAAUAUUACAAAAUGAUAUGAAAUAAUUGACAUUUGACACCUUUAAAUAGACUGGUGGAGUAGCUUUGACAAAUGGUUUAGUUUCCGCAAUAGAAGAAAGGUUUGUCUUAAUUUUGUUUGAUCUUGUAGCGUAUUUAAAUGCUUUGUUACCAAAUGAUUGGCUGCAAUACUGAAAUUUGGGAUGAUAAUUACUGUAUUCUUCAUAAAUGUGCUUUCUAAAUAUGCUAACAACACAUGGAAACCAUUAUAACUUAUAAGCACGUUAUCAUAUUAACAAUGUCGGCCUAAAAGUCAUAUGAUUAGUGCAUGUGAUUUUUCAUUGAUAGGUCAUAUGCAAGUAGAAUCUUGGAAGAAAAAUGCAUUCGCAUUGAUUUAAUGACCUCUAACAUCAAUUCAUUUCUUUUGGUUGUAACCAAAUUUUUAGAUUUGAGCAGUAUUGGCCUCUCUAUAGAAUAUUUCUGUUUUUUUUUAACUCGUCCUGCUUAGCCUUUUUAUAUUUCGAUAAAUCAUGUCAAUCAGAAAAUGCUAGUGUCUUGAAAGAUCUUGUUAUUAUUAUUAUUAUUAUUAUUAUUAUUAUUAUUAUUAUUAUUAUUUUGGUAAAUAUUAAGCUAAUGGAUCAAUCUUGUCUUCCUUUAUGCAGAGUCUUACAUGCCAUUCCUCCAAAUAAAGCAAUUAAUACUGUGGAGGUUAGUUUCUUUAACUUCUUUACCACCUAAUAAACGUAUAAUAAUGUAUGCGCCUAAUAAUCCAGCAUAGUAGGUGUGAAACUUAGCUUAAGGGACAUCCAUAAUAACAAAUUUGCACCUAACUACUAUUUGAUAUGUUAAUCUGUAAUUAUUAACUAUUUCUGACAACUUAGCUUAUUAUAAUUUCUGAACUAUAUCUUGGUAAUCUUGAUAUUCUGAUUGGCUUAGGCUUAAGUUUGAAAUGACAGCUCCAAUAAUUAAGUGCUUCUUAAGGUAGUGAUUAAAGUGAUUGCUAGCAUUUACUGAUCAUUUGAAGUUCUAUGGUUUCUCAAUGGCCUAAUUAAACACCUUUUUUAUUUUUCAUGUGAUAUCAGACGGUUCAUUCGUGCAGCUCAAGGAGUCAGUGAGACCCCUUCGUUGCAACUAGAGUGCUUGACAAACUACAUUGCCGAAUUGUCUUUGUUGGAGUACAAUAUGCUUUGUUAUGCUCCGUCACUAAUAGCUGCUUCUGCAAUUUUCUAGCCAAGUUUAUACUCUCCCCCUCAACCAAACCAUGGAAUGCUACAUUGAAGCACUAUACACAAAUACCAGCCUUCUGAUUUAUGUAGUUGUGUAAGGGAUCUCCAUCGACUUUGUUGCAACAAUCCUAACUCCAAUUUGCCUGCAAUUAGGGAAAAGUAUAGUCAGCAUAAGAUAUGUUGAAUUUGUGUUUUCGGUACAAAAACGUGGCCAAGAAGUAUUGCCCUCCCUCAAUACCUUCAGAAUAUUUUCAGAAUUGAGGAAAGAUACAGUUGAAUUGCCGGUUCUCAAGAGAGAAGGCCACUCUUCUCUUAUCAUUGUAUAUGUAGUUACCAUUUUUCCCACCUUGAUUAGAAGAGUUCUUGUUGUAUCUGCUUUUCAUUUUAUGUGGCAUGUUAUUUUUGCCUUCAUUUUUUUUUCAAUACAUAUAUGUAAUAUACAUAAAUAUAAAUUUAUUUGUAUUAGAAUCCAUUUUCCAUUUCAUCUUUA